GACGAACGCUGGCGGCGUGCUUAACACAUGCAAGUCGAACGGUAAGGCCCUUCGGGGUACACGAGUGGCGAACGGGUGAGUAACACGUGGGUGAUCUGCCCUGCACUUCGGGAUAAGCCUGGGAAGCUGGGUCUAAUACCGGAUAGGACCACUGCCUGCAUGGGUGGGGGUGGAAAGCUUUUGCGGUGUGGGAUGGGCCCGCGGCCUAUCAGCUUGUUGGUGGGGUGAUGGCCUACCAAGGCGACGACGGGUCGCCGGCCUGAGAGGGGGACCGGCCACACUGGGACUGAGAUACGGCCCAGACUCCUACGGGAGGCAGCAGUGGGGAAUAUUGCACAAUGGGCGCAAGCCUGAUGCAGCGACGCCGCGUGAGGGAUGACGGCCUUCGGGUUGUAAACCUCUUUCAGCACCGACGAAGCGCAAGUGACGGUAGGUGCAGAAGAAGGACCGGCCAACUACGUGCCAGCCGCCGCGGUAA
This 478-nucleotide ribosomal RNA is filed under the name uncultured bacterium. Its description in RNAcentral is "partial 16S ribosomal RNA". It matches the Rfam family "Bacterial small subunit ribosomal RNA", at positions 28 to 523 of the family's 1533-position model. The record is from RNAcentral.